UUAAUUAUUUUGAUGAUCGCCCCGUUUUCAUACUAUAAUGACUACGGGGAGGAAAGUCCGAACACCAUUCGUGAGCAGUCGAUAACGUCGACCGUCGAGCUAAGCUCGACAGGACAAGUGCAACAGAAAGUAUACCGCCCUGUACCAUAUGGUGCAGGGUAAGGGUGAAAACGUGAGGUAAGAGCUCACGCGUUCAUGCAGUGAUGCAUGACAGUGUAAACUCUGCUCGGUGCAAGGCCAAGUAGGCCCACGGCGAAAGUCGGGGCGGGUAGGCCGCUUGAUCCUGGCGGCAACGUCAGGACUAGAUAGAUGAUCAUCGCCCGCGAGGGCACAGAAUUCGGCUUAUAGAAUAGUUAAAGCA
This 361-nucleotide RNase P RNA is filed under the name Candidatus Kerfeldbacteria bacterium. Its description in RNAcentral is "RNase P RNA component class A". It matches the Rfam family "Bacterial RNase P class A". Rfam says of the family: Ribonuclease P (RNase P) is a ubiquitous endoribonuclease, found in archaea, bacteria and eukarya as well as chloroplasts and mitochondria. Its best characterised activity is the generation of mature 5'-ends of tRNAs by cleaving the 5'-leader elements of precursor-tRNAs. The record is from RNAcentral. Lineage: Bacteria; Candidatus Kerfeldiibacteriota.